RNAcentral lists this ribosomal RNA (447 nucleotides) under uncultured bacterium. RNAcentral's name for it is "bacterial SSU rRNA". It matches the Rfam family "Bacterial small subunit ribosomal RNA", at positions 355 to 825 of the family's 1533-position model. The record is from RNAcentral.
UCGGGAAUUUUGGGCAAUGGGCGAAAGCCUGACCCAGCAACGCCGCGUGAAGGAUGAAGUAUUUCGGUAUGUAAACUUCGUAAGAAUAGGAAGAAUAAAUGACGGUACUAUUUGUAAGGUCCGGCUAACUACGUGCCAGCAGCCGCGGUAAUACGUAGGGACCAAGCGUUGUUCGGAUUUACUGGGCGUAAAGGGCGCGUAGGCGGCAAUUCAAGUCAUCUGUGAAAUCUCCGGGCUUAACUCGGAACGGUCAGAUGAUACUGCUUUGCUAGAGUGCAGAAGGGGCAAUCGGAAUUCUUGGUGUAGCGGUGAAAUGCGUAGAUAUCAAGAGGAACACCUGGGGUGAAGACGGGUUGCUGGGCUGACACUGACGCUGAGGCGCGAAAGCCAGGGGAGCAAACGGGAUUAGAUACCCCCGUAGUCCCUGAGCGGGCUGGCAAGGCGCAU